Molecule: long non-coding RNA, 211 nt
Organism: Alligator sinensis (Chinese alligator)
Lineage: Eukaryota; Metazoa; Chordata; Crocodylia; Alligatoridae
Exons: 3
Source: RefSeq, a predicted model, not a curated record
CUGAGCUUUUUAAGCCAGCUCCCCCACACAGAGGUAAAGUAAUUACGCUCGAUUAGCAAGUGGCAGAUUUUGAAGAAUGAAGGCAAGAGGAAAUGCAAGCUGCUGAAGGCUCUCAAGCUCAGCUGGAGGAAUAUCCAGCCUCACUCACUGAGGUUCUCAGCAUGUUGGAAAUAUUUGAGCUGUGACCUUCAAGGAGCACCUGUACACCACA